GUCCACGCCGUAAACGAUGGGUGCUAGACGUUGGCGAGCUUGCUCGUCAGUGUCGCAGCUAACGCGUUAAGCACCCCGCCUGGGGAGUACGGCCGCAAGGUUGAAACUCAAAGGAAUUGACGGGGCCCGCACAAGCGGUGGAGCAUGUGGUUCAAUUCGACGCAACGCGCAGAACCUUACCAGCCCCUUGACAUGUGACUCGCCGGUACCAGAGACGGUACCUUCGGUUCGGCCGGAGUCAGCACAGGUGCUGCAUGGCUGUCGU
RNAcentral lists this ribosomal RNA (265 nucleotides) under uncultured bacterium. RNAcentral's name for it is "partial 16S ribosomal RNA". It matches the Rfam family "Bacterial small subunit ribosomal RNA", at positions 793 to 1055 of the family's 1533-position model. The record is from RNAcentral.